Non-coding RNA from Paramuricea clavata, 263 nucleotides. The record is from the annotation of a GenBank genome assembly. NCBI's taxonomy places the organism in Eukaryota, Metazoa, Cnidaria, Anthozoa, Malacalcyonacea, Plexauridae.
CGGACGAAUAAAUCUUGCUUGUAUUUUGUAUAUAAUAUUUAUUAUGCAGACUUUGUUUCAUAAUAAACAAUUUGUCAAGUGUCAUUUAUUUACUGGUAAUCGUGCAUGUUUCAGUCGGGCAAAUCUUGAUUAAUAUUUGAUACGCCGUUUUUGCAUAUUUCACACACAUCCAGAAAUAUGCUCGCGAAUUUAAACAUUAAUAUCUCCGUUAAUUUUUGAGUGAAAUACAACUGUAAUAUAUCAAAAUCUAAGUUAGCCCUUCC